Molecule: non-coding RNA, 106 nt
Organism: Ricinus communis (castor bean)
Lineage: Eukaryota; Viridiplantae; Streptophyta; Magnoliopsida; Malpighiales; Euphorbiaceae
Source: Rfam
AAACCAUAAUGAGGGCACCUCCUUUGUAACUCCUUAAACCUUUUGCAAGCUUCAUAAAGUGACUCAUCAUUCUUUUGGUAGCAACUAGCAAUUUGUUGUCUAAUUU